RNAcentral lists this ribosomal RNA (820 nucleotides) under uncultured bacterium. RNAcentral describes it as "bacterial SSU rRNA". It matches the Rfam family "Bacterial small subunit ribosomal RNA", at positions 59 to 889 of the family's 1533-position model. The record is from RNAcentral.
AAGCACUUUUUUAGAACUCUUCGGAGGGAAGAGAGGGUGACUUAGCGGCGGACGGGUGAGUAACGCGUGGGCAACCUGCCUUACACAGGGGGAUAACAAUUAGAAAUGAUUGCUAAUACCGCAUAAGACCCCAGUACCGCAUGGUACAGGGGUAAAAACUGAGGUGGUGUAAGAUGGGCCCGCGUCUGAUUAGGUAGUUGGUGGGGUAGAAGCCUACCAAGCCGACGAUCAGUAGCCGACCUGAGAGGGCGACCGGCCACAUUGGGACUGAGACACGGCCCAAACUCCUACGGGAGGCAGCAGUGGGGAAUAUUGCACAAUGGGGGAAACCCUGAUGCAGCGACGCCGCGUGAGUGAGGAAGUAUUUCGGUAUGUAAAGCUCUAUCAGCAGGGAAGAAAAUGACGGUACCUGACUAAGAAGCCCCGGCUAACUACGUGCCAGCAGCCGCGGUAAUACGUAGGGGGCAAGCGUUAUCCGGAUUUACUGGGUGUAAAGGGAGCGUAGACGGAAUUGCAAGUCUGAUGUGAAAAUCCGGGGCCCAACCCCGGAACUGCAUUGGAAACUGUAUUUCUAGAGUGUCGGAGAGGCAAGUGGAGUUCCUGGUGUAGCGGUGAAAUGCGUAGAUAUUAGGAGGAACACCAGUGGCGAAGGCGGCCUGCUGGACGAUAACUGACGUUGAGGCUCGAAAGCGUGGGGAGCAGACAGGAUUAGAUACCCUGGUAGUCCACGCCGUAAACGAUGACUACUAGGUGUCGGGGAGCAAAGCUGCCCGGUGCCGCAGCCAACGCAAUAAGUAGUCCACCUGGGGAGUACGUUCGC